AAAUUGAAGAGUUUGAUCAUGGCUCAGAUUGAACGCUGGCGGCAGGCCUAACACAUGCAAGUCGAACGGUAGCACAGAGAGCUUGCUCUCGGGUGACGAGUGGCGGACGGGUGAGUAAUGUCUGGGAAACUGCCUGAUGGAGGGGGAUAACUACUGGAAACGGUGGCUAAUACCGCAUAACGUCGCAAGACCAAAGAGGGGGACCUUCGGGCCUCUUGCCAUCAGAUGUGCCCAGAUGGGAUUAGCUUGUUGGUGAGGUAACGGCUCACCAAGGCGACGAUCCCUAGCUGGUCUGAGAGGAUGACCAGCCACACUGGAACUGAGACACGGUCCAGACUCCUACGGGAGGCAGCAGUGGGGAAUAUUGCACAAUGGGCGCAAGCCUGAUGCAGCCAUGCCGCGUGUAUGAAGAAGGCCUUCGGGUUGUAAAGUACUUUCAGCGGGGAGGAAGGUGUUGU
This 458-nucleotide ribosomal RNA is filed under the name Salmonella enterica. RNAcentral's name for it is "bacterial SSU rRNA". It matches the Rfam family "Bacterial small subunit ribosomal RNA", at positions 1 to 457 of the family's 1533-position model. RNAcentral also lists the same sequence under 1 other name. The record is from RNAcentral. Lineage: Bacteria; Pseudomonadati; Pseudomonadota; Gammaproteobacteria; Enterobacterales; Enterobacteriaceae.